This 862-nucleotide long non-coding RNA is filed under the name Nicotiana benthamiana. RNAcentral describes it as "long non-coding RNA (NBEN_LNC027653)". The record is from RNAcentral. Lineage: Eukaryota; Viridiplantae; Streptophyta; Magnoliopsida; Solanales; Solanaceae.
UUCCUUUUAUGCUUUGUUCAAAUCAAAACUGUAGUAAUUCACCUCUUGUCUCAAGUAAUCCAUAAGUUUUGCAUUUUUGGCAGUUCGGACGGGGUUUUCCGCUGCUACUUUCAUUUUCUGGAUUUGGACCCUAAUGGCCUCAUUUUUUUUUACCCGUUUCUUAUUUUUGCCCACAUCUGCUACGGCCUACAAAUCUUUCUCAAAUUGGAAAUUCAUGACCUGCUUCUCCAGAUUUCCUAUUGUAGCCCUGUACUUAUGUUCUUUAGCCAACCAGUCCUACUGCUCUUGCGAUGCUUCGACGAAUUCCUGGAGAUGGGGCCUCUUGGCUGGCCUCUCGAACUCAAUUUCUCUAGUGUACCAAGCAAGGUAUCCUGGCGACACUUCGCCUCUUGACAGAUCUCAUAUGCAAGUGUUUGCUAUUAGUUAUUGGCAUUCAUUCCAAAUUUUGCGGAUUGUUGCUUUAGAGAACUGACCAUCAGGUCCAAUCUCGACUACCCAAAUGCUGAGAUCUUUGUCUUUUGACACUAUCUGCCACAUCUCGAGCUGUCUCAAGACCCAAUACAGGCAUAAGGCUGGAUGCUCGUAAGACCAAUCAUAAGGAAGUGAGGCCCAGUUGCUGGAAUGUAUAUGAUCUCGUCCACAGACAACCAUCCUAGUGUCCACUCUAUUUGACUGGCAGUGAGGGACCGAAAGUAAGAUAUCCAUCCUGUUACUCCUCCAGGCAAGCUAAGCCCUUUAAUCCUUGUGUAUAAUUCCUCUAUACAAGUUUUCUCCGUUGACCCAUAGCUGAUCAACUGGGGACGGUGGCAUUGAUGUUCGAUCAUCCACAUUUGCAACAACAGAUUAAACCCCUCAAAGAAAU